CAGAGCGUAGCUAAAAUAGAAUAGCAACUCCCUUACACUGAGAAGAUGCUUGUGCAAAUCAAGCCGCCCUGA
RNAcentral lists this transfer RNA (72 nucleotides) under Lebetus guilleti (Guillet's goby). Its description in RNAcentral is "tRNA-Val". It matches the Rfam family "tRNA". Rfam says of the family: Transfer RNA (tRNA) molecules are approximately 80 nucleotides in length. Their secondary structure includes four short double-helical elements and three loops (D, anti-codon, and T loops). Lineage: Eukaryota; Metazoa; Chordata; Actinopteri; Gobiiformes; Gobiidae. The record is from RNAcentral.